This 619-nucleotide unclassified non-coding RNA is filed under the name Balbisia calycina. RNAcentral's name for it is "sequence contains ITS1, 5.8S rRNA gene, ITS2". The stretch from base 239 to 394 matches the Rfam family "5.8S ribosomal RNA". Lineage: Eukaryota; Viridiplantae; Streptophyta; Magnoliopsida; Geraniales; Francoaceae. The record is from RNAcentral.
UCAAAACCUGCCAUGCAGAACGACCCGCGAACAAGUCACCUGAAUAGGGAGACGCUAGUGCCUUAACGGGUGCCCUGCUGAUCCCGAAACUAGGCAAGAGGGCUCACGCCUUUGAACCUAGUAUAACCUUGAACCCCGGCGUGAGAAACGCCAAGGAACUUUAACGAGAAACGAUCUUCCUCAACGCGUCGUGCNAGCGGUGCUGUAGGGAUGGUCGUGCCUCCACUAUGUCUAUAACGACUAUCGGCAACGGAUAUCUCGGCUCUCGCAUCGAUGAAGAACGUAGCGAAAUGCGAUACUUGGUGUGAAUUGCAGAAUCCCGUGAACCAUCGAGUUUUUGAACGCAAGUUGCGCCCAAAGCCUUCGGGCCGAGGGCACGUCUGCCUGGGUGUCACGCACUCGUUGCCCCCACAACCUUCACCCCUAAACGGGUUUGGGUUGGGGGCGGAAUAUGGUUUCCCGUGCGCUCCCGCUCGCGGUUGGCCUAAAAAUGAGUCCUUGGCGCCGAGCGUCACGACAAGCGGUGGUUGAAAUACCCUCCUCUAAGAUGUCGUGUAUGUGAGUCGUCAACACUAAGGAUCUCUGAGACCCACGAUCAUCCUGCGACCCCAGGUCAGGC